UGGGGAAUAUUGCACAAUGGGCGCAAGCCUGAUGCAGCCAUGCCGCGUGUAUGAAGAAGGCCUUCGGGUUGUAAAGUACUUUCAGCGGGGAGGAAGAGAGUAAAGUUAAUACCUUUGCUCAUUGACGUUACCCGCAGAAGAAGCACCGGCUAACUCCGUGCCAGCAGCCGCGGUAAUACGGAGGGUGCAAGCGUUAAUCGGAAUUACUGGGCGUAAAGCGCACGCAGGCGGUUUGUUAAGUCAGAUGUGAAAUCCCCGGGCUCAACCUGGGAACUGCAUCUGAUACUGGCAAGCUUGAGUCUCGUAGAGGGGGGUAGAAUUCCAGGUGUAGCGGUGAAAUGCGUAGAGAUCUGGAGGAAUACCGGUGGCGAAGGCGGCCCCCUGGACGAAGACUGACGCUCAGGUGCGAAAGCGUGGGGAGCAAACAGG
Molecule: ribosomal RNA, 429 nt
Filed under: Chloroflexota bacterium
Lineage: Bacteria; Bacillati; Chloroflexota
Description: Chloroflexi bacterium partial 16S ribosomal RNA
Rfam family: Bacterial small subunit ribosomal RNA
Source: RNAcentral